RNAcentral lists this ribosomal RNA (964 nucleotides) under uncultured marine bacterium. RNAcentral's name for it is "bacterial SSU rRNA". It matches the Rfam family "Bacterial small subunit ribosomal RNA", at positions 56 to 1066 of the family's 1533-position model. The record is from RNAcentral.
UGCAAGUCGAACGAACCUUCGGGUUAGUGGCGGACGGGUGAGUAACGCGUGGGAAUCUGCCCUCAGGAGGGGGAUAACGGUUGGAAACGGCCGCUAAUACCCCAUAUGCCGAGAGGUGAAAUGAAUUUCGCCUGAGGAUGAGCCCGCGUCUGAUUAGCUAGUUGGUGAGGUAAGAGCUCACCAAGGCAUCGAUCAGUAGCUGGUCUGAGAGGAUGAUCAGCCACACUGGGACUGAGACACGGCCCAGACUCCUACGGGAGGCAGCAGUGGGGAAUUUUCCGCAAUGGGCGAAAGCCUGACGGAGCAACGCCGCGUGAGGGAUGAAGGCCUCUGGGCUGUAAACCUCUUUUAUCAAGGAAGAAGAUCUGACGGUACUUGAUGAAUAAGCCACGGCUAAUUCCGUGCCAGCAGCCGCGGUAAUACGGGAGUGGCAAGCGUUAUCCGGAAUUAUUGGGCGUAAAGCGUCCGCAGGCGGCCCAACAAGUCUGCUGUUAAAAAGUGGAGCUUAACUCCAUCAUGGCAGUGGAAACUGUUGGGCUCGAGUGUGGUAGGGGCAGAGGGAAUUCCUGGUGUAGCGGUGAAAUGCGCAGAUAUCGGGAAGAACACCAGUGGCGAAGGCGCUCUGCUGGGCCAUCACUGACGCUCAUGGACGAAAGCCAGGGGAGCGAAAGGGAUUAGAUACCCCUGUAGUCCUGGCCGUAAACGAUGAACACUAGGUGUCGGGGGAAUCGACCCCUCCGGUGUCGUAGCCAACGCGUUAAGUGUUCCGCCUGGGGAGUACGCACGCAAGUGUGAAACUCAAAGGAAUUGACGGGGGCCCGCACAAGCGGUGGAGUAUGUGGUUUAAUUCGAUGCAACGCGAAGAACCUUACCAGGGUUUGACAUCCUGCGAAUCUCUUGGAAACCUGAGAGUGCCUUCGGGAGCGCAGUGACAGGUGGUGCAUGGCUGUCGUCAGCUCGUGUC